RNAcentral lists this ribosomal RNA (428 nucleotides) under uncultured bacterium. RNAcentral's name for it is "bacterial SSU rRNA". It matches the Rfam family "Bacterial small subunit ribosomal RNA", at positions 8 to 424 of the family's 1533-position model. The record is from RNAcentral.
AGAGUUUGAUCCUGGCUCAGAACGAACGCUGGCGGCGUGCCUAACACAUGCAAGUCGAAUGUGAAAGUCCUUCGGGAUGAGUAAAGUGGCGCACGGGUGAGUAAUGCGUAGAUAAUCUGCCUGGUGAUCUGGGAUAACAUCUCGAAAGGGGUGCUAAUACCGGAUAAGCCCACGGAGUCUUCGGACUUUGCGGGAAAAGGGGGGGACCUUCGGGCCUUCUGUCACCAGAUGAGUCUACGUACCAUUAGCUAGUUGGUGGGGUAAGAGCCCACCAAGGCUACGAUGGUUAGCUGGUCUGAGAGGAUGAUCAGCCACACUGGAACUGAGACACGGUCCAGACUCCUACGGGAGGCAGCAGUGGGGAAUUUUGCGCAAUGGGGGAAACCCUGACGCAGCAACGCCGCGUGAGUGAUAAAGGCCUUCGGGUC